RNAcentral lists this ribosomal RNA (1005 nucleotides) under human gut metagenome. Its description in RNAcentral is "bacterial LSU rRNA". It matches the Rfam family "Bacterial large subunit ribosomal RNA", at positions 1919 to 2925 of the family's 2925-position model. The record is from RNAcentral.
CCCAGUAAACGGCGGCCGUAACUAUAACGGUCCUAAGGUAGCGAAAUUCCUUGUCAGGUAAGUUCUGACCCGCACGAAAGGCGUAACGAUUUGGGCGCUGUCUCGGCAGCAGACUCGGUGAAAUCUUAGUACCUGUGAAAAUGCAGGUUACCCGCAACUAGACGGAAAGACCCCAUGGAGCUUUACUGUAGCCUGAUAUUGAGUUUUGAUCAAAGAUGUACAGGAUAGGUGGGAGGCGAAGAGACGUGUACGCCAGUAUACGAGGAGCCGCUGUUGGGAUACCACUCUUGUUUGAUUGAAAUUCUAACCUGCAUCCAUGAACUGGAUGAGGGACCGUGUCAGGUGGGCAGUUUGACUGGGGCGGUCGCCUCCUAAAGAGUAACGGAGGCGCCCAAAGGUACGCUCAGAUUGGAUGGAAAUCAAUCGACGAGUGCAAAUGCAGAAGCGUGCUUGACUGCGAGAGAAACAACUCGAGCAGGGACGAAAGUCGGGAUUAGUGAUCCGGCGGUGCCGAAUGGAAGGGCCGUCGCUCAACGGAUAAAAGCUACCCUGGGGAUAACAGGCUGAUCUCGCCCAAGAGUUCACAUCGACGGCGAGGUUUGGCACCUCGAUGUCGGCUCAUCGCAUCCUGGAGCUGAAUUCGGUUCCAAGGGUUGGGCUGUCCGCCCAUUAAAGCGGUACGCGAGCUGGGUUCAGAACGUCGUGAGACAGUUCGGUCCCUAUCUGUUGUGGGCGAAGGAAAUUUGAGGAGAGCUGUCCUUAGUACGAGAGGACCGGGAUGGACCUACCGCUGGUGCACCAGUUGUUCCGCCAGGAGCAUAGCUGGGUAGCUAAGUAGGGAAGGGAUAAGCGCUGAAAGCAUCUAAGCGCGAAGCCCCCUCCAAGAUGAGAUUUCCCAUUCUUCGGAAGUAAGACCCCUUGAAGACGACGAGGUAGAUAGGUCAGAGAUGGAAACGUAGUGAUACGUGGAGUUGACUGAUACUAAUAGGUCGAGGACUUAAUCAC